This is a non-coding RNA of Falco peregrinus (peregrine falcon), 73 nucleotides long. Lineage: Eukaryota; Metazoa; Chordata; Aves; Falconiformes; Falconidae. The record is from the annotation of a RefSeq genome assembly.
GGGGAUGUAGCUCAGCGGGGAGAGCGCUUGCUUUGCAUGCAAGAGGCCCUGGGAUCGACCCCCAGCAUCUCCA